Molecule: long non-coding RNA, 2614 nt
Organism: Benincasa hispida (wax gourd)
Lineage: Eukaryota; Viridiplantae; Streptophyta; Magnoliopsida; Cucurbitales; Cucurbitaceae
Source: RefSeq, a predicted model, not a curated record
CAAGACUUAGAGCACAAAUCCCAACAAUCUUCGACCCAAAAACUCUCCUAGUUCAACUUACGGUCCAACCCAAGACUUUUGUUUCUCCUUAAAUAAUUUGAAAACAAAAAGAAACCCUAAAAAAAAGAGAGACGUGCGCUGCUUUUCAUCUUCAACUGCUCGACGCCUCUCUUCUUCUCUCGUAGUCUCCACUCCACGACCAAACGUUCACCUUUUCUUAAUCUCCAUCUUCUCUUUUUUACGGAAAGCCUUCAUUUUCACUUUACACCUCCACAGCCAGACCUUCAACUUCACCGCUCAGCCACAACCAUCCGUGUUUCCUUCGAAUUUCGAAGCUCCAUUUCGCCACUGGAGAUCGAGUUCAGUCCACUCAAACAAAAGGAAUUGGAAGAAGUCUUGAGUUUGUGUCUGUUCAUGAGAUCGACGCAAGGAGAAGGAUUUUGUUGAAGGCGGUCUUCAAGAGAUAUUCUUCUCAUUUCUUAAUAGCAUGUUGUAGAAUUAAUAUCUAUCUUGCACAUUUUCUAUGUAUUUUCUCUAUUUUUCAAGUUUCCAAAACGAAUUUCAUUGGCACAAGCAUUCAAGUGCUUUCGAUGGGGAAUUCAAUUCCUUCAAAUGGAUCAACAUUGAAAGGCAAAUACAAAUAUGUCAUGUUGGUGCCUAUUUGUUUCGACAGUAAUAACCAACUAUACCCACUUGUGUAUGGGAUAGUCGACAAGAAGUCUGAUUCUUGAUGGUCAUAUUUUAUGCAACACCUUAAAAGUUGCAUAGGGGAGGACCUAAACAUGGUCAUCGUUUUUUACCACCACAAAGGAAUAACGAACGCAGUAGCCCGAGUAUUUCCAAAUACGUUCCACGCAUUGUGCACUUACCACUUGAAAAAAAACAUAGCGAAGGAUAGUGUGAUACUGAAGGUUUUCAAUGAUGUAGCGAGAGUGUAUAGGGAGUAUGAAUUCAAUAGAUAUUUGGAAGAACUGCGUGGUUUCAAAAAUGGUGUCGUGACACAAUACUUGGAGAGUGUCGGGUUAGAGCAAUAGACUCGAGUCCACCAAACUACAAGACGGUAGGACAACAUGACAAGCAACGGUGCAGAGUGCUUCAAUUCACUUACAGUAGAGGCAAAACUGCUACCAAUAAUACCUUUGUUUGAAUUUAUUAGAGAAAAACUCAAGGAAUGGUCUUUCGACCAACAAAACUAAUGGUCAAUAAAAACUCAAGGAAUGGCCUUUCGACCAACAAAACUAAUGGUCAUUCUGUACGCCAUUAUAUUUAGACAACAUUGAAAAGCAAAUGGCAGAAGAUUUUGAGAUGGGUAGAUGGUACCGGAUAAGUCCAAUUGACUAUCAUACAUUCAUCGUAAAGGACGAUCACUUGGAUGGUAUUGUCAACAUAAACAGUCAUCAAUGCACAUGUAAAAAGUUCGACUUCAUGGAGAUUCCAUGCUCACAUACAAUAGUUGCUAUAAGGUCUGGGAACAUUAACCCGCACACGUUUUUCAGCCAAUCUUAUAGUGUGAACUCCCUUAUCUUUGUGUUUGCAGAACCCAUCUUCCCCACUGGACAUUCUUCAGAGUGGAGGAGACCAUCAGGAUACGUGUAUUUCAUUAUACGACCACCAAAAACAACCUCCAUUGCUGGUUUGUCGUGUGUUAAUCGAAUUCCAUCUACUAGAGAACAAGGGGCCUAAAGAUGCAUGGGGUGUGGAAAUUCGGGACACAAUAGCAGAACGUGCACUAAGCCCUUGUCAAGCAAUAUAAAUAGUGACCAACGAUGAUAAAGAGAACUUAGUUUUCUGUCUAACCUUCCAAUCCAAUCCAAAUUCCCUCUCGAUUGGAGCUCCACCAUUCAAUCCAAGGCUUGAGAUUAGUAAAGAAUUAUUUUUUGGAGGUCUAAUACAAAGUUUGAAGGAGAAUUCUGUGGAGAAAGCAAGGAAUUUGUGGAAAUCAUCAAAGGUAUUCAACUUAAAACCCUAAUGACAAAACUGUGAACUUGCAUGCUUGUUACUCAAAUUAAUGGUAUUAGAGUGCUUAAUGAUUCUGUUUUCUUCUAUGUUAUGCAUGUUUACUCUAUCAUUUGGUAUUAGAGCAUGAUUUUAAGCACUCAAUUAACGUUAACUCGAGCAUGGUGGGUGAAUUUCAUAAGUUGCAUGAAAUGUCUACUGAUAUGGUGUUUUUUCAGUUUUGGUAUUAGAUUAUUCUUUAAUUAUGUUGUAAUUGUUGUAAUUGGCUCUUUGUUUAUGGGCCUUAAUGUGUGAUGAAAAGUCUACAAUUUUGUUAGAUCAAUAGAGUUGUAAUUAGGUUGUAAUUGAAGAAAGAAGCAAGAAGCAAGACAGGUUAGUUGUAGUUUUUUCAAAGAUAAUGCUACUGCUAGGCAGCAUUACAACGCUGCUCAUCUCAGCCUAGAAUGCACAUGCGCGAGGAGCCGGUUUGAAGGAGUGGUCUGGUUCAAUGAGUUUGACUGGUUGAAGGUCCGAUUCAAACAGUCUUGGUCCGUCCAGCACUUUUUAGAGUUUUGGAUGUCUGGUUCGAGUGGUCCAAAAGUGUUUUGAAGCUGUUUUGGGUUAUUAUUGUAGUAAUUAGCUUAUUUGCUUGCUUAGGAUGCCAAAAAGGGUCCAUAUU